AUUGAACGCUGGCGGCAGGCCUAACACAUGCCAGUCGAACGGUAACAGGAAGCAGCUUGCUGCUUCGCUGACGAGUGGCGGACGGGUGAGUAAUGUCUGGGAAGCUGCCUGAUGGAGGGGGAUAACUACUGGAAACGGUAGCUAAUACCGCAUAAUGUCGCAAGACCAAAGAGGGGGACCUUCGGGCCUCUUGCCAUCGGAUGUGCCCAGAUGGGAUUAGCUUGUUGGUGGGGUAACGGCUCACCAAGGCGACGAUCCCUAGCUGGUCUGAGAGGAUGACCAGCCACCCUGGAACUGAGACACGGUCCAGACUCCUACGGGAGGCAGCAGUGGGGAAUAUUGCACAAUGGGCGCAAGCCUGAUGCAGCCAUGCCGCGUGUAUGAAGAAGGCCUUCGGGUUGUAAAGUACUUUCAGCGGGGAGGAAGGGAGUAAAGUUAAUACCUUUGCUCAUUGACGUUACCCGCAGAAGAAGCACCGGCUAACUCCGUG
Molecule: ribosomal RNA, 490 nt
Filed under: uncultured bacterium
Lineage: Bacteria
Description: partial 16S ribosomal RNA
Rfam family: Bacterial small subunit ribosomal RNA
Source: RNAcentral